AGAGUUUGAUCAUGGCUCAGAUUGAACGCUGGCGGCGUGCCUAACACAUGCAAGUCGAUCGGUAACGCGGGGGCAACCCUGGCGACGAGAGGCGGACGGGUGAGCAACGCUUGGGAAUCUGCCCAUCAGCGGGGGACAACCCGGGGAAACCCGGGCUAAUACCGCAUACGCUCUACGGAGGAAAGCCGGGGACCGCAAGGCCUGGCACUGAUGGAUGAGCCCAAGUCGGAUUAGCUAGUUGGCGGGGUAACGGCCCACCAAGGCGACGAUCCGUAGCUGGUCUGAGAGGACGAUCAGCCACACCGGAACUGAGACACGGUCCGGACUCCUACGGGAGGCAACAGUGGGGAAUAUUGGACAAUGGGGGAAACCCUGAUCCAGCGACGCCGCGUGGGUGAAGAAGGCCUGCGGGUUGUAAAGCCCUUUCGGUAGGGACGAAAGCUUCCGACCUAACACGUCGGGAGGUUGACUUAACCUACAAAAGAAGCACCGGCUAACUCUGUGCCAGCAGCCGCGGUAAUACAGAGGGUGCGAGCGUUAAUCGGAAUUACUGGGCGUAAAGCGCACGUAGGCGGCUUUGCAAGUCGGUUGUGAAAUCCCCGGGCUCAACCAGGGAACUGCAUCCGAGACUGCUUUGCUCGAGUAUGGGAGAGGGAAGUGGAAUUUCCGGUGUAGCGGUGAAAUGCGUAGAUAUCGGAAGGAACAUCAGUGGCGAAGGCGACUUCCUGGACCAAUACUGACGCUUAGGUGCGAAAGCGUGGGGAGCAAACAGGAUUAGAUACCCUGGUAGUCCACGCCCU
RNAcentral lists this ribosomal RNA (800 nucleotides) under uncultured bacterium. RNAcentral describes it as "bacterial SSU rRNA". It matches the Rfam family "Bacterial small subunit ribosomal RNA", at positions 8 to 803 of the family's 1533-position model. The record is from RNAcentral.